This 253-nucleotide ribosomal RNA is filed under the name uncultured bacterium. Its description in RNAcentral is "partial 16S ribosomal RNA". It matches the Rfam family "Bacterial small subunit ribosomal RNA", at positions 524 to 776 of the family's 1533-position model. The record is from RNAcentral.
UACGGAGGGUGCAAGCGUUAUCCGGAUUUACUGGGUUUAAAGGGUGCGUAGGUGGGUUGGUAAGUCAGUGGUGAAAUACUUUCGCUUAACGAAGGAACUGCCAUUGAUACUACCAGUCUUGAAUACAGUGGAGGUAGGCGGAAUGCGUCAUGUAGCGGUGAAAUGCUUAGAGAUGACAUAGAACACCUAUUGCGAAGGCAGCUUACUACGCAGAUAUUGACGCUCAUGCACGAAAGCGUGGGGAUCAAACAGG